GAUGAACGCUGGCGGCGUGCCUAAUACAUGCAAGUCGAGCGAACGGACGAGAAGCUUGCUUUUCUGAUGUUAGCGGCGGACGGGUGAGUAACACGUGGAUAACCUACCUAUAAGACUGGGAUAACUUCGGGAAACCGGAGCUAAUACGGAUAAUAUUUUGAACCGCAUGGUUCAAAAGUGAAAGACGGUCUUGCUGUCACUUAUAGAUGGAUCCGCGCUGCAUUAGCUAGUUGGUAAGGUAACGGCUUACCAAGGCAACGAUGCAUAGCCGACCUGAGAGGGUGAUCGGCCACACUGGAACUGAGACACGGUCCAGACUCCUACGGGAGGCAGCAGUAGGGAAUCUUCCGCAAUGGGCGAAAGCCUGACGGAGCAACGCCGCGUGAGUGAUGAAGGUCUUCGGAUCGUAAAACUCUGUUAUUAGGGAAGAACAUAUGUGUAAGUAACUGUGCACAUCUUGACGGUACCUAAUCAGAAAGCCACGGCUAACUACGUG
RNAcentral lists this ribosomal RNA (496 nucleotides) under uncultured bacterium. RNAcentral describes it as "partial 16S ribosomal RNA". It matches the Rfam family "Bacterial small subunit ribosomal RNA", at positions 28 to 507 of the family's 1533-position model. The record is from RNAcentral.